UACGUAGGUGGCGAGCGUUAUCCGGAAUUACUGGGAGUAAAGGGCGGGCAGGCGGCAGUGUAAGUCAGAUGUGAAAUCUCCCGGCUCAACCGGGAACGUGCAUCUGAUACUGCAGUGCUUGAGUGAUAGAGGGGGAGGUGGAAUUCCUAGUGUAGCGGUGAAAUGCGUAGAUAUUAGGAGGAACACCGGUGGCGAAAGCAGCUCACUGGUCUGUAACUGACGCUGAGGUUCGAAAGCGUGGGGAGCGAACAGG
RNAcentral lists this ribosomal RNA (253 nucleotides) under uncultured bacterium. Its description in RNAcentral is "partial 16S ribosomal RNA". It matches the Rfam family "Bacterial small subunit ribosomal RNA", at positions 524 to 776 of the family's 1533-position model. The record is from RNAcentral.